RNAcentral lists this ribosomal RNA (1962 nucleotides) under human gut metagenome. Its description in RNAcentral is "bacterial LSU rRNA". It matches the Rfam family "Bacterial large subunit ribosomal RNA", at positions 400 to 1983 of the family's 2925-position model. The record is from RNAcentral.
AGCAUAUCCUUUACGCGGUCUACGAUGCCAUCGAAGCUGACGUUCUCCUUCUCCAAUGUAUCACGACGCAUAAUCUCGAUGGUGUUGUUCUCCAAGUCACGGCCACCCAUAGCGAGACGUACAGGAACACCCUUCAACUCAUAGUCAGCGAACUUGAAGCCAGGACGCUUGGCAGGGUUGUCAUCAUACUUCACGGUGAUGCCCAACUCUCGGAGCUGGUCGAUGACAGGCUGCAACUUAGCAGUAAUCUGCGCCAACUGCUCUUCGCCCUUGUUGAUAGGAACGAUAACCACCUGGAUAGGAGCCAGCUUUGGACUGCGAACCUGUUGAUCUUGUUAUCAACUCUCAUCUUUUUAGAAAGGUGGGAGUUUUUUUAUCUUAAUUUAUUUUGUCCUUCACCUAUUUUGUUGUAACUUUGCAGGCAGAAAUUCGAUCCGGUAAGGCUAAAUACUCCCGUGAGACCGAUAGCGAACGAGUACUGUGAAGGAAAGGUGAAAAGAACCCCGAGCAGGGGAGUGAAAUAGUUCCUGAAACCAUACGCCUACAAGCGGUCGGAGCAUCUUACGAUGUGACGGCGUGCCUUUUGCAUAAUGAUCCUACGAGUUACCGUCACUGGCGAGGUUGAGUGUCACGAGACACGUAGCCGCAGUGAAAGCGAGCCUGAAUAGGGCGCACAGUCAGUGGGGGUAGACGCGAAACCAAGUGAUCUACACUUGGCCAGGAUGAAGUCCCGGUAACACGGGAUGGAGGUCCGCACCAAUAAGCGUUGAAAAGCUUCUGGAUGAGCCGAGUGUAGGAGUGAAAGGCCAAUCAAACUUGGAGAUAGCUCGUACUCCCCGAAAGGCAUUUAGGUGCCGCGUCGGAUGGUCACCGUGAGAGGUAGAGCGACCGAUAGGACAAGAGGGCUUCACCGCCUAUCGAGUCCUGACGAACUCCGAAUGCUCACGGUCUGCAGUCCGGCAGUAAGGGGGCGGGUGCUAAGGUCCGUCCCCGAGAGGAGAAGAAUCCAGACCGCCGUCUAAGGUCCCGGAGUUCUGCCUGAGUUAGUCUAACGAAGUCUGGUCCCUAUGACAGCUAGGAUGUUGGCUUGGAAGCAGCCAUUCAUUCAAAGAGUGCGUAACAGCUCACUAGUCGAGGGUCCGGGCAUGGAUAAUAAUCGGGUAUAAGGCAGACACCGAAGGCGCGGGAUAGCAUUUAAGAAAGUAUCGGUAGGGGAGCAUACUCACAGCGUCGAAUGGUGUACGUAAGUUAUCCUGGAGCGGUGAGUAAAGCAAAUGUAGGAAUAAGUAACGAUAAGGAGGGUUAGAUUCCCUCCCGCUGUAAGACCAAGGUUUCCCGGGCAAUGCCAAUCAGCCCGGGGUCAGUCGGGUCCUAAGUCUAAGCCGAACGGCGAUGGCGAUGGCAGAGACGGUUAAUAUUCCGUCACUGCCGCAUGGGGCGACGUGGAGACGGAGCAGUGAAACCACCGCGGGGCGACGGAAGUCCCCGUUGAAGAGUGUAGGUGUUGAGGAUGGCAGGCAAAUCCACCAUCCGAGCUGAACUUGACAGUACGGAGUCCUCCUCGGAGGAAUCUGAUAGUGUGGGUAAUCAUACUCCCGAGAAAAUCCGCUAAGCUUAACCCAUGCGGCACCCGUACCGCAAACGGACACACGUGGUCGGGUAGAACAUACUAAGGCGUUGAGAGAUUCAUGGUUAAGGAACUAGGCAAAUUGACCCUGUAACUUCGGGAUAAAGGGUCCUCGUGAUGAGCGAGGCGCAGAGAAUAGGUCCAGGCAACUGUUUAACAAAAACACAGGGCUGUGCAAACUCGAAAGAUGACGUAUACAGCCUGACACCUGCCCGGUGCCGGAAGGUUAAGAGGAGAUGUCACUCGCAAGAGGAAGCAUUGAAUUGAAGCCCCGGUAAACGGCGGCCGUAACUAUAACGGUCCUAAGGUAGCGAAAUUCCUUGUCGGGUAAGUUC